Molecule: ribosomal RNA, 504 nt
Filed under: Triticum aestivum (bread wheat)
Lineage: Eukaryota; Viridiplantae; Streptophyta; Magnoliopsida; Poales; Poaceae
Description: partial small subunit ribosomal RNA
Source: RNAcentral
AUGCCGAAAGCAAGGACAAGAUCUUGGAUAUCGCCACCACCUGAGCACAUGAAGAUCAACAUGGAUGCUGUCGUUUCCAGGACAGGGAGGUUUGGCGCUGCUAGUGCUAUUUGCAGGGACGAAGCAGGAGGUUUCUUGGGGGCAUCGACACUUGUUCUUAACAACAUCUUUGAUCCCCAGAUUCUCAAAACCAUAGCAAUACGAGAAGCCCUGGCCCUUGCUCAAGAUCUCUAUAUCAGCAAGAUGUCCAUAGCAUCCGACUGCAAGGUGGCCAUCGAUGCGAUCAAGGAUGGGAGUGCUGCAAAAUUUGGUGCAGUAAUCACAGAAGUUAAAGAUACCUCUAGUAAUUUUUCUUCCUACAUUUUUAGUCAUGAGUAUAGGACCUCGAAUGAGGAGGCCCAUAAUCUCGCAAAGUACGCUUUAUCCUUAGGGUUUGGCCGCCAUGUUUGGCUAGGUCAGCCCGGAGAUCUUGUAAUCGUCCCUACAAACAUUGUGACGCAAUAA